Long non-coding RNA from Lampris incognitus (smalleye Pacific opah), 281 nucleotides. RefSeq lists it as uncharacterized. The transcript is spliced from 3 exons. Lineage: Eukaryota; Metazoa; Chordata; Actinopteri; Lampriformes; Lampridae. The record is from RefSeq and is a predicted model, not a curated record.
CUACCUGGACCGUCACAGACACACACCCUCUGGGCCCAAACCAGCACCCUGCAGGUGGUUUUCAUCCUGCAGAGGACGGCUGGUUUGCCGACCAUUUUAGCUCCUUAGCAUCAGUCUGCAGUGGCAGUGCUGACCCCGGCAGUGCCGGCCAGCCUGCCGGUACUGAGCCAAACGGCAUCCACACGUCGACAAGUAUCAAGAGCCAGUGGGAAGACACAUGCCAUCGCAACCUAUCAGAGAGGCCGACGGGACCUGAGACGGCAAUUUCGGGGGAAGCCGGC